Molecule: ribosomal RNA, 482 nt
Filed under: uncultured bacterium
Lineage: Bacteria
Description: partial 16S ribosomal RNA
Rfam family: Bacterial small subunit ribosomal RNA
Source: RNAcentral
AUUGAACGCUGGCGGCAUGCCUUACACAUGCAAGUCGAACGGUAACAGGUCUUCGGAUGCUGACGAGUGGCGCACGGGUGAGUAAUACAUCGGAACGUGCCCGAUCGUGGGGGAUAACGAGGCGAAAGCUUUGCUAAUACCGCAUACGAUCUACGGAUGAAAGCGGGGGAUCUUCGGACCUCGCGCGGACGGAGCGGCCGAUGGCAGAUUAGGUAGUUGGUGGGAUAAAAGCUUACCAAGCCGACGAUCUGUAGCUGGUCUGAGAGGAUGAUCAGCCACACUGGGACUGAGACACGGCCCAGACUCCUACGGGAGGCAGCAGUGGGGAAUUUUGGACAAUGGGCGAAAGCCUGAUCCAGUCAUGCCGCGUGCAGGAUGAAGGCCUUCGGGUUGUAAACUGCUUUUGUACGGAACGAAAAGCCUCUUUCUAAUAAAGAGGGGUCAUGACGGUACCGUAAGAAUAAGCACCGGCUAACUACGUG